CAGAGGCAGUUUCCUACUGGUAUCUGAGACCGAAGGAGUUCCCUGCCAGCAGCCAGGGAGAGAGAAGCUCCUGGAGCAAUGAUGCGGGGAGAAGCCUGACUGCAGCUUGAGACCAUCGGUCCUUGGUCUGUCAUCUGCCACCACUGAGAACAGUCCAGCUCCAUUUUUGGAACCGCCCUGCAGGAUCUCAUGGUUGCUGGAACUGGUUAAGAGAAAAAUAUAGUUCUCCUCAUUCUAUCAUGCUGAUAUGGACUUAGAAGAAACUCUGGAUUGCAACAUGUAAUGUAUUAAAUCCUCAGUGGGGUUAUCUAAUUUUACUAAGGAAAAAGCCCUGUCCUGCAAGGUAUCUGUGGCUAUAGCUUGUGUUUAUACCAAUUCGUUUGUGGGAUAGAAGCCUAUUUUUGUUUGACUGUUGGGUUCAGUGCAAUAAUAUAUUAUGACCACUGUGCCGUCAGUGCUGGAGAGAUUGCUGUAAUAUGGAUGAUGAUUUCCUGUGCUGUAUAGAUAGCCUUUCAUUCAAAUGAAUCCCUCAGUGUUUUGCCCAUUGCACUGAUUCAUGGUACAAGCUAUUCCAUAUUUAAUAUAGUUAAUUUAUUUUAUAACAAAACCUCCUUUAACCACUCUUAAGUCUUAAUAACCCCCUUUAAUCAUUUUUCUGUCUUGUGCUCUGAAUACUAAAAUGCAGUGUGUACCUGAUGCCUCUACUACAUCUUACAAUAUAUAGCAGAAUUGGCUAAAGACCUGAACAGGCCGAAGUGAUGCAAUAUCCUACUUAACAGCAUCCCUAAAAGGUACAAGAACAAACACUGUAACAGCUCUGCACAAAUGCCUCUGUGGAUAAUGGCAAAAAGAGGACUCCAUUUCUUACUAUGCUCUUCCCACCAAAAUGGUGGGAAAUACAUUUGGGAAGCAGCAGCAAUAGCUUGAGACAUGCUGAAAACAAUCUUUGGGGCUAGCAUCCACCCUUUUAAAAUUCACUCCAUAAGGCCAGGCAUGGUGCUCAUUGGUUUGUUUGGACCUUUGAAAAUUAAAGUAGGCCCAGAAUUUUUACAAAAUUACCUGUGAUUUGGGAUAUUUUAAUAG
This is a long non-coding RNA of Alligator mississippiensis (American alligator), 1083 nucleotides long. RefSeq lists it as uncharacterized. The record is from RefSeq and is a predicted model, not a curated record. The transcript is spliced from 3 exons. Lineage: Eukaryota; Metazoa; Chordata; Crocodylia; Alligatoridae.